This 198-nucleotide ribosomal RNA is filed under the name uncultured bacterium. RNAcentral's name for it is "partial 16S ribosomal RNA". It matches the Rfam family "Bacterial small subunit ribosomal RNA", at positions 328 to 539 of the family's 1533-position model. The record is from RNAcentral.
ACGCUCGACACCUACUGGAGGCAGCAGUGGGGAAUAUUGCACAAUGGGGGGAACCCUGAUGCAGCGACGCCGCGUGAGUGAAGAGGUACUUCGGUAUGUAAAGCUCUAUCAGCAGGGAAGAAAAUGACGGUACCUGACUAAGAAGCCCCGGCUAACUACGUGUCAGCAGCCGCGGUAAUCUGAGCGGGCUGGCAAGGC